This 439-nucleotide ribosomal RNA is filed under the name uncultured bacterium. RNAcentral describes it as "partial 16S ribosomal RNA". It matches the Rfam family "Bacterial small subunit ribosomal RNA", at positions 338 to 795 of the family's 1533-position model. The record is from RNAcentral.
CCUACGGGAGGCAGCAGUGGGGAAUAUUGCACAAUGGGCGAAAGCCUGAUGCAGCAAAGCCGCGUGAGCGAUGACGGCCUUCUGGUCGUAAAACUCUGUCCUUAAGGGAUAUAAUGACGGUACGUGAGGUGGCAGCCACGGUUAACCACGUGCCUGCAGCCGCGGUAAUGCGUAGGCGGCUGGCGUUAUCCGGAGUGACUGGGCGUAAAGGGGGCGUAGGUGGUUUCUUAAGUCAGAGGUGAAAGUCUACAGUACAACCGUAGUAAGCCUUUGAUACUGGGGAACUUGAGUGCAGCAGAGGAGAGUGGAAUUCCUGGUGUAGCGGUGAAAUGCUUAGAUAUUAGGAGGAACACCAGUUGCGAAGGCGGCUCUCUGGACUGUAACUGACACUGAGGCACGAAAGUGUGGGGAGCAAACAGGAUUAGAUACCCUUGUAGUC